Coregonus clupeaformis (lake whitefish) is the source of this 1744-nucleotide long non-coding RNA. RefSeq lists it as uncharacterized. The record is from RefSeq and is a predicted model, not a curated record. The transcript has 3 exons. Lineage: Eukaryota; Metazoa; Chordata; Actinopteri; Salmoniformes; Salmonidae.
UGCGGACCAUAAACUCCGCCCUCCUUGUCUGCACGAGUGUGUGACAGUGUUCAAAGAUUGGUCUAUGCGAUCAAGAAUAACCGUUAACGUGGGACCAAUGAGAAGGACUAGUAUUGGAUGGUUAAAGCUGAAGAGCACCAGCCCUCUAGAUCACCCAAUCCUCUAGCCCAACCACCUAUUAACAGACAUAGAUGUAUGGGAGUUCAGGGAGAGUGUCAAGCUCCUUCGGGAGAUCUUCGCCCAGAAGGCCUUCGACCCAUUCCGGGGGCCCGAGGUACAGCCGGGACCUGAGUUUUAGUCAGACGCAGAGAUCGAUGUGUUUGUGCGUCGCAAGGCUGACAGCGCAUACCAUCCAUCUUACACGUGUAAGAUGGGCUCGCCAUCUGACCCCAUGGCAGUGGUGGACCCAGAGACACACGUGCUAGGCCUCGAGGGGCUCCGUGUGGUUGACGCUUCCAUCAUGCCCAGUGUCGUCAGCGGCAACCUCAACGUCCCCACCAUUAUGAUCACCGAAAAGCCUGCUGACAUCAUCAGAGAGCGACCGGCACUCAGAGACCCCGGGGGUGCCUGUGUACCAGCCUGCAUCUCUAGAAACCUGGCGAUGAGCCUCAGACCUGUGGACCUGCAUUGUUACCAUCCCCUAAGGGCCUGUACAGACAGAAGCGAUGCUAAUUAUUCAUGUACACAUGGGUCCGUCUCACCCCAUCUUAAAUUAAUCCCAAAACACACAACUUCAAAAAAAACAUUAAAGUCUUCAGGGACCACGGUGUCAGCUGGUUUUCAUCCAUACUUAAUGAUGAGCAUCUGAUUAGACCGCGGGAAAAAACCGUGUAGUAGACUCUGUUGGAAGUCAGUGACUAUAACUUAUAUUAUUGAAGUACCAAUACAAGCUAACUGGCAGAAACUGAAACACUGAGACCCUGAGUUCCUCUGUUUUAAAACAUCCCUGUUGAUUCGUUUUCCCUAGUCUUGGUUACCGUCCUGAUAAUGCUGGUAUUCUAUCUAAUCCGUAUGUUCAUUUACAAUGAGAGAGACAACUAAGAGCUAGAGAUGGUAAGUCCAUUUACAGCACUAUUACAUUAUCUCUUCAGUUGACAACCAGAGGUUGGAUAAGGGGCACUAGUACAAAACAAUUAUUAAUAAUUAAAUAAGUAAUAAAUAUCACUAAAUAAUUUGAUAUGAUUUGAUCAACUCCUCUGGGUUUUUCUUUUUACAUAAAUGUUUACAAUUAUAAGAGAUUGAUUUUAUAUGAAGGAUUUAGCUUUUGAAUCGCCUUGCCAGUCAUGAAAGUGUCUUGAUGAAGUAUGAUGUCUUGAUUGAAGUUUGCCAUUGAACCUGGCAUACACUGCCUUAAAUUAAGUAUGUUUUGUAUGAAGCUUUAAUCUAUUGAUUAUUUCAGCAGAGCUGCAGUAUUGUGGUAUAGUAGUAUUAACCCCCAUGUUAGUGUUAGCUUUUGACUACUUUUUAAAUGAAGAAUAUUACCGAAGUCGUACGUCAUCGCUUUGCACCCUGUGUUUUACACACUCACUAACAGCUGUGAUGGUAAUUUUUUAAAUAAUAUGUAGAGUCCAUAUUUUUGGUUUGCAAAUUCCUGCCGCUGAGUACAUAUAGCACAGAUAUUGUCAUCUGGAGCCAUUGAGUGACUCGGAGAGAGUUUAUUCAGUUGUGAUCAUUACAAAAUCAUCAGCAUUCCAGGCAAAUAUUCAAGAGAAUAAAGGAAAUGUAAAAAAAAAAAAAAAAGUUA